The sequence is a regulatory RNA element, 95 nucleotides long. It matches the Rfam family "NiCo (Nickel/Cobalt) riboswitch aptamer". The record is from Rfam.
GCGGUACAAACUGAGCAGGCGAUGGACCUUUUAUCAGGAGGUUCGUGGGGCCGGGCCAUUUUUGGCAGCAGGUGCAUGGCAUCUGCGGGACAGUC